This 494-nucleotide ribosomal RNA is filed under the name uncultured Weissella sp. RNAcentral describes it as "bacterial SSU rRNA". It matches the Rfam family "Bacterial small subunit ribosomal RNA", at positions 28 to 476 of the family's 1533-position model. Lineage: Bacteria; Bacillati; Bacillota; Bacilli; Lactobacillales; Lactobacillaceae. The record is from RNAcentral.
GAUGAACGCUGGCGGCGUGCCUAAUACAUGCAAGUCGAACGCCUUGUGGUUCAACUGAUUUGAAGAGCUUGCUCGGAUAAGACGUUGAACAUUGCAAGGAGUGGCGAACGGGUGAGUAACACGUGGGAAACCUACCUCUUAGCGGGGGAUAACAUCUGGAAACAGAUGCUAAUACCGCAUAACACUUAUGACCGCAUGGUCAAGAGUUGAAAGAUGGUUCUGCUAUCACUAAGAGAUGGUCCCGCGAUGCAUUAGUUAGUUGGUAAGGUAAUGGCUUACCAAGACGAUGAUGCAUAGCCGAGUUGAGAGACUGAUCGGCCACAAUGGGACUGAGACACGGCCCAUACUCCUACGGGAGGCAGCAGUAGGGAAUCUUCCACAAUGGACGAAAGUCUGAUGGAGCAACGCCGCGUGUGUGAUGAAGGGUUUCGGCUCGUAAAACACUGUUGUAAGAGAAGAACGACACCGAGAGUAACUGUUCGGUGAGUGACGGU